UACAGAGGUCUCAACCGUUGUUCGGAUUCAUUGGGCGUAAAGGGUGCGUAGGCGGUCUGCUAAGUUUGGUGUGAAAUCCCGGGGCUCAACCCUGGAAUGGCAUUGAAUACUGGCGGACUAGAGUACCGGAGAGGAAACUGGAAUUUACGGUGUAGCAGUGAAAUGCGUAGAGAUGUGGAGGAACACCAGUGGCGAAGGCGGCUUUCUGGUCUGUAACUGACGCUGAGGCGCGAAAGCGUGGGGAGCAAACAGG
This 253-nucleotide ribosomal RNA is filed under the name uncultured bacterium. RNAcentral describes it as "partial 16S ribosomal RNA". It matches the Rfam family "Bacterial small subunit ribosomal RNA", at positions 524 to 776 of the family's 1533-position model. The record is from RNAcentral.